Molecule: unclassified non-coding RNA, 296 nt
Filed under: uncultured fungus
Lineage: Eukaryota; Fungi
Description: sequence contains ITS1
Rfam family: 5.8S ribosomal RNA (bases 1-105)
Source: RNAcentral
GAAAUGCGAUAAGUAAUGUGAAUUGCAGAAUUCAGUGAAUCAUCGAAUCUUUGAACGCACAUUGCGCCCCCUGGUAUUCCGGGGGGCAUGCCUGUUCGAGCGUCAUUUCACCACUCAAGCCUCGCUUGGUAUUGGGCAACGCGGUCCGCCGCGUGCCUCAAAUCGACCGGCUGGGUCUCCUGUCCCCUAAGCGUUGUGGAAACUAUUCGCUAAAGGGUGUUCGGGAGGCUACGCCGUAAAACAACCCCAUUUCUAAGGUUGACCUCGGAUCAGGUAGGGAUACCCGCUGAACUUAA